CGCGGGAUGGAGCAGUUGGCAGCUCGUCAGGCUCAUAAUCUGAAGGUCGUAGGUUCGAAUCCUACUCCCGCAACCA
RNAcentral lists this transfer RNA (76 nucleotides) under Malacoplasma sp. RNAcentral's name for it is "tRNA-Met". It matches the Rfam family "tRNA". Rfam says of the family: Transfer RNA (tRNA) molecules are approximately 80 nucleotides in length. Their secondary structure includes four short double-helical elements and three loops (D, anti-codon, and T loops). The record is from RNAcentral. Lineage: Bacteria; Bacillati; Mycoplasmatota; Mycoplasmoidales; Mycoplasmoidaceae.